RNAcentral lists this long non-coding RNA (258 nucleotides) under Lathyrus oleraceus (garden pea). Its description in RNAcentral is "Pisum sativum (pea) long non-coding RNA (PSAT_LNC006465)". Lineage: Eukaryota; Viridiplantae; Streptophyta; Magnoliopsida; Fabales; Fabaceae. The record is from RNAcentral.
GGUUGCGUUAGACGGUAAAGGGGAAAGGCGAUGAAGGUUUAUGGUGAAGGAGAGGAAAAGAAUGGAAGCCAAUAAUUUUUCAGGAACAGAUCCCAGGAAGCGAAAAGGAUUUUUUCCUUUCUCUUUCCGUUUUUUCUUUUUUCCUUUUUGUUAACGUUGAGAAAGGUGGAGUAGUUAUUAUGAGAGAGAGUCCUCUUUUCUGAAAAGUGUUUGUUUCUUUUUAAGAGGGAGAACCGAGUGGUUAGGAGAGAGACGCGU